Molecule: ribosomal RNA, 249 nt
Filed under: Glomus sp. (unid)
Lineage: Eukaryota; Fungi; Glomeromycota; Glomeromycetes; Glomerales; Glomeraceae
Source: RNAcentral
CAGUCGCGUUCUCUGGGAUUCAGCCUUGCUUCUUGCUUGGUGCAUUUCCUAGUCUACGGGCCAGCAUGAAUCUUGAGCGGUGGAAAAGGGUUUGGGGAAUGUGGCACCUCCGGGUGUGUUAUAGCCUUUGGUAGAUGUGAUGAUCGGGAUUGAGGAUUGCAACGGAUACCCUUCGGGGCUACUCGUCUGAUCUCUGAUUGUUGCUCUGGUGCUGAAAGCUUGCUUAUGGCUAUCAGAAUCGAUGGUCAA